AUGCGGAGGGUGCAAGCGUUAAUCGGAAUUACUGGGCGUAAAGCGUACGUAGGCGGUUCGUUAAGUUAGAUGUGAAAGCCCCGGGCUUAACCUGGGAACUGCAUUUAAAACUGGCGGACUAGAGUUGAGUAGAGGGGAGUGGAAUUUCAGGUGUAGCGGUGAAAUGCGUAGAGAUCUGAAGGAACACCAGUGGCGAAGGCGACUCCCUGGACUCGAACUGACGCUGAGGUACGAAAGCGUGGGUAGCAAACGGGAUUAGAUACCCCGGUAGUCC
This 274-nucleotide ribosomal RNA is filed under the name uncultured bacterium. Its description in RNAcentral is "partial 16S ribosomal RNA". It matches the Rfam family "Bacterial small subunit ribosomal RNA", at positions 523 to 796 of the family's 1533-position model. The record is from RNAcentral.